GUGGGAUUUCAGUGCUUGGCACUGCUGUCAGAAGAAAAUGAAAGACAUAGAUCAACAUGGGCACUAACAUUUUUGUAUUUAUAAAUUGAUCUGUUUUCAAUUUUUUAAAAUUUUAUUACUGAGCUAUGUGUCUACCAGGAAUUUUUCUCCAAAGUAAUAGUUUUAGGGGACACUCUUCACUUCAUGGAAGUAUUUGAUAACAGCAUUCAGACAUCGUGGUUUAUACUUGUGACUGCUGAGCCAUUUCAAAUGGCUUUGUUUUCAGAAAUACCAGGUCAGUCUACUGGAGCAAGUGCUGCUUCUACUUCACUGGUGAUUUCCAUUUGUUCAGCGGCUAUACCUGUGAAUGUCUGGAAAAGGCCAACUUGGGAAAGAGUUACUUCAGCAGAUGCUUCUCUCCUUAAGGAAUUUUAUAAACAAGAGUAGCCUCCUGUUUUCUGCUGUUUUUCUUGGAUUAAAAAAAUCAAUUGAUUUAAUAAACCAAAUAUUAAAUAUUAAAU
This 500-nucleotide long non-coding RNA is filed under the name Homo sapiens (human). RNAcentral describes it as "HSALNT0080286". The record is from RNAcentral. Lineage: Eukaryota; Metazoa; Chordata; Mammalia; Primates; Hominidae.